Camelina sativa (false flax) is the source of this 599-nucleotide non-coding RNA. The record is from RefSeq and is a predicted model, not a curated record. Lineage: Eukaryota; Viridiplantae; Streptophyta; Magnoliopsida; Brassicales; Brassicaceae.
AGGAAGGUUUGAGUGGUGUUUUGGAUUGGUGGUUUUUUCUUCCGCCGAAGCAUGGCUUUCGAUGAGAAGCAGGGUUCUCGAAUUAGGUAGUGGUGGUGGUAUCUGCUUCAGGAGUUGGCGGCGGAGAUCUCUUUCGGUUGCGUUUCUUUUCAAACGGAUUUAAGGUUACAGACUUCUUUUUGGCUAUCGGUGAAUGAUGUUUGUUCGAGCCAAGGAGAAAAGAUAUUGCCUUUAGCAUCUGAUGUAUCUUCGCCAGAUAUUCAGAAGUUUUACCAUCAGUGUGACCCUGGUGACUGUCUCGCCACUCUGAAUCUCACACUAAGGCUUCAAAGAUGUCCCCACCACCAAAAGAAGAAGAUGAGAGUGGAAGAUAUCCCCGAGUUGCAGUACCAGCAAGAAUAUUUUUUGUACUUUAAUAUUUUGUGUAGGUAGAUUGGGAUAAUUAGGGUGAAAUAACAACAAUAACAUGUUAUGUUAGCUCUAGUGAGUUAUAUAGUCUUGUUAUAUACCUCUAUUUGUAUCGUUGGAUAAAUACAAAUUAGAACAUCCUUCGUUGCUAUAUUGUCUUGUUUUGAAAUUUAUAAAAUUAUCAUCUUGCU